This is a non-coding RNA of Ictidomys tridecemlineatus (thirteen-lined ground squirrel), 427 nucleotides long. The record is from RefSeq and is a predicted model, not a curated record. NCBI's taxonomy places the organism in Eukaryota, Metazoa, Chordata, Mammalia, Rodentia, Sciuridae.
GUCACAGGGCAUAGACUCUGAAAUGACUGCAGCAGGGACGGAUGGAUUUAAUAAUAGUCAGUGGGUCUCUGGGUACUAAGGAGGCCAAAUAUCCUUCUCUCACAGAGCUCAGCACUUCCUGCUUUCCCAGCAUCCAGAGUCCAGUGUGGAAGAUGGAGCCAUAAAGAGAUUACAAGGAUGGUAGAUCCUGGUGCUGUAUCAGACAAGAAGAGAGGAAUCUCAGAACUGCAUGGACCAAGUAGAACUCUGGGACCACAGGGAACUCAGAAUCCUUUGAUCUAUACAGGUCCAGACUGUGAAACAAAACUGUAAUUAAGAACUGGAGGGGCUGUGGCUAUGGAUCAGCAGUAGGGUGCUCGCAUAGCAUGUGUGAGGCACUGGGUUCGAUCCUCAGCACCACAUUAAAAUAAAUAAAUAUUGGGCUGGG